GGCAUGCUUUACACAUGCAAGUCGAACGGUAACAGGGAGCUUGCUCCGCUGACGAGUGGCGAACGGGUGAGUAAUAUAUCGGAACGUACCCAAGAGUGGGGGAUAACGUAGCGAAAGUUACGCUAAUACCGCAUACGAUCCAAGGAUGAAAGCAGGGGACCGCAAGGCCUUGUGCUCCUGGAGCGGCCGAUAUCUGAUUAGCUAGUUGGUAGGGUAAAGGCCUACCAAGGCAUCGAUCAGUAGCUGGUCUGAGAGGACGACCAGCCACACUGGAACUGAGACACGGUCCAGACUCCUACGGGAGGCAGCAGUGGGGAAUUUUGGACAAUGGGCGCAAGCCUGAUCCAGCAAUGCCGCGUGAGUGAAGAAGGCCUUCGGGUUGUAAAGCUCUUUUGUCAGGGAAGAAACGGGUGUGGCUAAUAUCUGCAUCUAAUGACGGUACCUGAAGAAUAAGCACCGGCUAACUACGUGCCAGCAGCCGCGGUAAUACGUAGGGUGCAAGCGUUAAUCGGAAUUACUGGGCGUAAAGCGUGCGCAGGCGGUUUUGUAAGUCUGUUGUGAAAUCCCCGGGCUUAACCUGGGAAUGGCAAUGGAGACUGCAAGGCUAGAGUUUGGCAGAGGGGGGUAGAAUUCCACGUGUAGCAGUGAAAUGCGUAGAGAUGUGGAGGAACACCGAUGGCGAAGGCAGCCCCCUGGGUCAAGACUGACGCUCAUGCACGAAAGCGUGGGGAGCAAACAGGAUUAGAUACCCUGGUAGUCCACGCCCUAAACGAUGUCUACUAGUUGUCGGGUCUUAAUUGACUUGGUAACGCAGCUAACGCGUGAAGUAGACCGCCUGGGGAGUACGGUCGCAAGAUUAAAACUCAAAGGAAUUGACGGGGACCCGCACAAGCGGUGGAUGAUGUGGAUUAACUCGAUGCAACGCGAAAAACCUUACCUACCCUUGACAUGGCAGGAAUC
Molecule: ribosomal RNA, 960 nt
Filed under: Pseudoduganella buxea
Lineage: Bacteria; Pseudomonadati; Pseudomonadota; Betaproteobacteria; Burkholderiales; Oxalobacteraceae
Description: bacterial SSU rRNA
Rfam family: Bacterial small subunit ribosomal RNA
Source: RNAcentral